Molecule: ribosomal RNA, 492 nt
Filed under: uncultured bacterium
Lineage: Bacteria
Description: partial 16S ribosomal RNA
Rfam family: Bacterial small subunit ribosomal RNA
Source: RNAcentral
AGUGAACGCUGGCGGUAGGCCUAACACAUGCAAGUCGAACGGCAGCACCGUAAGAGCUUGCUCUUACGGGUGGCGAGUGGCGGACGGGUGAGGAAUACAUCGGAAUCUACUUUUUCGUGGGGGAUAACGUAGGGAAACUUACGCUAAUACAGCAUACGACCUACGGGUGAAAGCAGGGGAUCUUCGGACCUUGCGCGAUUGAAUGAGCCGAUGUCGGAUUAGCUCGUUGGCGGGGUAAAGGCCCACCAAGGCGACGAUCCGUAGCUGGUCUGAGAGGAUGGUCAGCGACACUGGAACUGAGACACGGUCCAGACUCCUACGGGAGGCAGCAGUGGGGAAUAGUGGACAAUGGGCGCAAGCCUGAUCCAGCCAUACCGCGUGGGUGAAGAAGGCCUUCGGGUUGUAAAGCCCUUUUGUUGGGAAAGAAAGGCAGCAGGUUAAUACCCCGCGGUUCUGACGGUACCCAAAGAAUAAGCACCGGCUAACUACGUG